ACACUGUGCCUUUAACAAAAGACUGAAAUUGCGGGGGAAGCGUGACACCGGCUUGUGUGGGGCGUGUCAGGAAGAGGAGGCAAUAGAACGUGAUUCUGAGGUGCAGGAAGUAUGAUAUACAAAGGGAUGUGAUGAGGAGGAAGCUGAUGGGACACUAAAGCAUGACUGAACAUGGAUGAAAAGACACAUCAGAGGAAGUUGUUGAACUGUUUGAGGAGCACAGUCUAGUUUAAUGGGGUGUGUGUGAAGGAAUGCACUAAAGUGAUUGAUGCCACACACCGUUAAAAACGAACAUGAAGAAGAAUACUUUGCUUGUUUUUUCCCUCCUCUUUCUUCCCUUUGUUUGUAAAUACAUACUACGUAUAUGCAUACAUUUAUGUAUGUAUAAACAGUACAUACAAAUACGUACAGUAUAGAUGCCCAAGUACUCAACCUACGGAUACACACUCCGGUCCAGUAGAUGGCGGUAUGCACCUCAAACGUUGGCUGCGACCCGCCAUAAAGAAGACGAAAAUUGCGCAUGCGUACUACUAGGUAAAACGGCGCUUUCCCGCGUGUGCCUGCUAGCUGCUAACAAGGAGAUCAACACAUCGCGCUAAGCAGCGCUCAAGUGAGUGUUGUGAUUGUUUAGAAAUGUGUAAAGUACAAAUGUUGAGAGAUUUGGUGAAUCAGCGACUAACUACGGCAGUUGAAGAAAUAUUUCUAGUGUUGGACAGAACAAUAGCAGAGUACGAGGAGGAACUUUCUCGAACUAAAGAGAUCGAGCGACAACGUCAGAUACUGGACGCUGUUUUCAAGAAGCCUCGAGUUGUGUUAUACAGAGAAGCGCGGUCGUAAAAAUGGGCUAGAGGAGGAAGCAUGCGCAGAACCGAUUGCGUUUCCGAAGUCAGUGCAGAACAUCUUCCACCUGAUCAGGAGGAGGCACAGCCCCCCCACGUUAAAGAGGAAGAGAAUGAUCACAGCAUCAGUCAGGAGAAAGAGCAUCUUGAAGGACUGGAGGAGUUUCCAGGGAUUGGUGUCCCUGUGAAGACUGAAGAUGAUGAAGACAAAGGUGAAAGUGAGGAGAAGAGGGGUGGGGGGCCUCCAAGCAGCCGCUCGACUCAACACAUGACAACAGAAGCUGAUGGAGACCACUGUGGAGGAUCACAAGCACACAACCUCUUAGCUCCACUAUCAGAUGAUCACAACACAACGUCACUCUCUCCUGACACUGAUGAUGAAGGCGCUCAAGCUGAUAUGACAUGUCACACUGACAACACACGCUUUAAAUGCUGCCACUGUGACAAAGUGUUUAAAUACCGUAGUUUUAUGACAAGACACCUGAGAUUACACACAGGAGAGAAACCUUUUGCUUGUUCAGUGUGUGGUAAGGCUUUUGACCAUAGUGGACAUUUGAAAACACACAUGAGAAUACACACUGGUGAGAAACCUUUUACCUGUUCAGUGUGUGGUAAGGGUUUUGGACAUAAUCAAGACUUGAAAAGACACAUGAGAAUACACACUGGUGAGAAACCUUUUACUUGUUCAGUGUGUUUUAAGGGUUUUGGAAAAAAUGAACAUUUGAAAACCCACAUGAGAAAACACACUGGGGAGAAACCUUUCACCUGUUCAGUGUGUGGUAAGGCUUUUAGACAAAUUGGACAUUUGAAAACACACGAGAGUACACACUGGUAAAGUGUUGAGUUGCAGUGUGUGUGCUGAAGGAUUCUCUUAUAACGACCAGCUUAACAAUCACAAGUGUGUUGGUGAGAAGAGCAGCAGUAAAUGAAGUAGCAGGAUGUGGAAAAAGCUGUAAAGACUUGAGUAAUUUUGACUUUCUAGAAAGAAGAAACCUUUUACAUGUUCAGUGUCUGAUUUUGGUUUUGCACAAAAUCGAUAUUUGAAAAUACCCAAUGGAGAAAACCGUUUUACCUUUAUCUGUUCAGUGUGUGGUUAAAGUUUUGCACAAAAUCAACAAACGCCCCCCACAUGUUUGCGCCCAAUAAUACGGUGUGUCUUAUAUGUGUGUUAAAUACAGAAAUACACAACACCCAACAAAUUAUGAAGUCCCAAAGGAGACUGUACUUCCUGAGAAGACUGAGGAAAUUUGGCAUGUCCACCACAAUCCUGAGUUGCUUCUACAGAUGCACUAUGGAAAGUGUCCUUACCGCCUCCAUCACUGUUUGGUACGGUAACUGUACAACACGUGAUAGGAAGGCACUCCAGCGGGUGAUCAAGACCUCACAGAACAUUGUUGGGGCAGCCCUCCCCUCACUGCAAGACAUUUAUAAAACUAGAGUCCUACGCAGAACACACAACCUCAUCAAGGACAGCACACAUCCACAACACUCAUUAUUCACACUCCUACCGUCAGGCAGACGCUACAGGAGUUUGAAGUCCAGGACCACAAGACUGGCGAACAGCUUUUACCCACAGGCCAUCAGGCUUCUCAAUGAAGCACUCACACACGCCGCACGCAACACACGCACACACUCAUAGCACUUUAUUUAUUUAUCUAUUUAUUUGUAUUAAUGUCUCUUCUGUUGUUGCUGCUUAAUUUAUUGGUAUAUAUGUUUCUUAUGUUCUCAUUCUUUCUUGUGUUUUCUUUCUUUUCUUGGGAGAAUGAACAGAAUAAGAUUUUCAUUGCAUAGUAUAACUGCUGUUUUACUAUGCACAUGACAAUAAAACUCUCUUGAAUCUUGAAAUAGCAGCCAUAACUGAGACUGUGCCCAAUAAUACGAUGUGUCUUAUAUGUGUGUUAAAUACAGAAAUAGCAGCUAUAACUGAGACUGUGCCCAAUAAUAUGAUGUGCCUUAAAUACGGUAUUUCAACUUUCUUCUAAAGUAAUCUUUGUAAGUUUUCGUCUUGUAAUAUUUUGACUUUAUUGCCCUAUUUUGAUUUUAUUCCCAUCAUAUUAUAACUUUUUCCCCCAACCUAAUUUUUCAAACCUACAAUUAAAAAAAGUCACAAUAUUUCAACUUUCUGCUGAAAUGAUCUUUGUAAUUUUAUUUUAUUUGACUUUAUUCACAUAAUAUUAUAUAUAUAUAUAUAACAUACUAAUAUACUAGAACAUACUAGAACCAACCUACUAGAAUAGGACGUUUUACUCUUUAUAUUUGGACUUUAUUCCCGUAUAAUUACAGCUGUUUGUACCAUUACUACUUAUGUUUAUUUUCCCCCCCACUUGACUUCAUGCCCAUCAUAUUUGGACUUUAUUCUCAUAUGUUAACAUUUUCCCCGACUUAAUUUUUUUUUAAAGUAACCCUUUUUUUGUUGUGUUUUGUUUCGCACAAUAUUACAAGUUUUCUUCUUUUCAUAUUUCAAAUGUCUGCUGCUAAAAUGUAACAGUAUGACGUUCUUCUCGUAAAAUCACCACUUUUUCUUGUUAGGUUUAUAUUUUCGAGGGACGAGAGGGGGACAAAAACAAAAAAAGAGAGACAAGGACAACAGCAGCAACAACAACAAUAGUGACAGAACAACAGAAACAUACAGAACGACAUCAGCAAAUAAAUGUCUGUGACAACUAUCAAGACGAACAAGGACAUAAGGACAAAACAAUAUCAACAACCACAAUGACAAAGCUGUCAAUGACAAUCACACAUAAUAGCAGUCAUGAAAUGAUGAACUAUGAUAGUGAUCACAAUGACAAUACUGCAUUGAAACAGGCACACAUAAUUGUAGUAAUGAAAUGAUUAUCCAUGAUAGUGAACAGAAUGAAAAGUACUGUAAUGCACAUCAUUGUAAAUACAUAUAUAUAUA
Dunckerocampus dactyliophorus (ringed pipefish) is the source of this 3738-nucleotide RNA transcript. It is a transcript of the gene named zinc finger protein 3 homolog, with no coding region annotated. The record is from RefSeq and is a predicted model, not a curated record. The transcript is spliced from 3 exons. NCBI's taxonomy places the organism in Eukaryota, Metazoa, Chordata, Actinopteri, Syngnathiformes, Syngnathidae.